RNAcentral lists this ribosomal RNA (439 nucleotides) under uncultured bacterium. RNAcentral's name for it is "bacterial SSU rRNA". It matches the Rfam family "Bacterial small subunit ribosomal RNA", at positions 338 to 775 of the family's 1533-position model. The record is from RNAcentral.
CCUACGGGGGGCAGCAGUGAGGAAUAUUGGUCAAUGGGCGAGAGCCUGAACCAGCCAAGUCGCGUGAGGGAAGAAUGGUCUAUGGCCUGUAAACCUCUUUUGUCAGGGAAGAAUAAGGAUGACGAGUCAUUCGAUGCCAGUACUUGACGAAUAAGCAUCGGCUAACUCCGUGCCAGCAGCCGCGGUAAUACGGGGGAUGCGAGCGUUAUCCGGAUUUAUUGGGUUUAAAGGGCGCGUAGGCGGGACGUCAAGUCAGCGGUAAAAGACUGCAGCUAAACUGUAGCACGCCGUUGAAACUGGCGCCCUGGAGACGAGACGAGGGAGGCGGAACAAGUGAAGUAGCGGUGAAAUGCAUAGAUAUCACUUGGAACCCCGAUAGCGAAGGCAGCUUCCCAGGCUCGUUCUGACGCUGAUGCGCGAGAGCGUGGGUAGCGAACAG